GACGAACGCUGGCGGCGUGCUUAACACAUGCAAGUCGAACGGAAAGGCCCUGCUUUUGUGGGGUGCUCGAGUGGCGAACGGGUGAGUAACACGUGAGUAACCUGCCCUUGACUUUGGGAUAACUUCAGGAAACUGGGGCUAAUACCGGAUAGGAGCUCCUGCUGCAUGGUGGGGGUUGGAAAGUUUCGGCGGUUGGGGAUGGACUCGCGGCUUAUCAGCUUGUUGGUGGGGUAGUGGCUAACCAAGGCUUUGACGGGUAGCCGGCCUGAGAGGGUGACCGGCCACAUGGGGACUGAGAUACGGCCCAGACUCCUACGGGAGGCAGCAGUGGGGAAUAUUGCAAAUGGGCGGAAGCCUGAUGCAGCAACGCCGCGUGCGGGAUGACGGCCUUCGGGUUGUAAACCGCUUUCGCCUGUGACGAAGCGUGAGUGACGGUAAUGGGUAAAGAAGCACCGGCUAACUACGUG
RNAcentral lists this ribosomal RNA (467 nucleotides) under uncultured bacterium. RNAcentral describes it as "partial 16S ribosomal RNA". It matches the Rfam family "Bacterial small subunit ribosomal RNA", at positions 28 to 507 of the family's 1533-position model. The record is from RNAcentral.